GCCUGGGUGGCUCAGUUGGUUAAGCAUCUGACUUCAGCUCAGGUCAUGAUCUUGUGGUUUAUGAGUUUGAGCCCCGUGCCAGGCU
Molecule: transfer RNA, 85 nt
Filed under: Felis catus (domestic cat)
Lineage: Eukaryota; Metazoa; Chordata; Mammalia; Carnivora; Felidae
Rfam family: tRNA
About the family: Transfer RNA (tRNA) molecules are approximately 80 nucleotides in length.
Source: Rfam by way of RNAcentral